UCUAUCCCUAGAGGCAUUGUGGAUGUGGCUGCUGGGUCACAUGUGAAUCAGUAUGUGGCACAGAAAAGAGAGACUAUGUCUAUGCUCAGUGUUCUGACCUAUGAACAUCUGAGUAAUUAGUAGCCUAACAUU
Molecule: small nucleolar RNA, 132 nt
Organism: Grammomys surdaster
Lineage: Eukaryota; Metazoa; Chordata; Mammalia; Rodentia; Muridae
Product: small nucleolar RNA SNORA17
Exons: 1
Source: RefSeq, a predicted model, not a curated record